This 1532-nucleotide long non-coding RNA is filed under the name Salvia miltiorrhiza (redroot sage). RNAcentral's name for it is "long non-coding RNA (SMIL_LNC005970)". The record is from RNAcentral. Lineage: Eukaryota; Viridiplantae; Streptophyta; Magnoliopsida; Lamiales; Lamiaceae.
AAAGAACUCGAAACAUAUAGUACUGUACAAUAAAAAGUGUAUUCGAACUACAACUAGUUCUCGAAAAAUUAACUGAAUUUCGCAGUAGAACGCAAUCAUUGUUCCUAUUCUAGAGCUUCAGUCAACGGAAAUCGAACUCUACACAAAGGUCCAACUAAAUUGACUACGAAGUCGCUAUGAAAUAACGAAUCAUACGGCAUGCAAUCAAACAAAUUGAAGCUCUAUAUGUACAAAUAAAGAUUUAAUUGAAAAAGGGGGUGAUCUUGCCUUUCCGCUGAUAAUCAGCCAACAGUCCUUAGUCUUAUUAUGCUUCGCGACCUCCUCGAAUGUGUGAGAUUUCGGAUCUGAUGCCAUCGUUGAUUGUUCCUCACCACUAAACACAAAAAGGAAAAUAGUUUCAAAAUCGGAAUGAAAACAUAAAAAAAUAUAACCCGAUUAACAAAUAAAGAGAGCAUCUGAAAAGCAAACAACGGAAUCAAGAGAAAUUAAGUCGAUCAGAAAGCUUACGAGAGAAGCGGNUAUCACAUAAACAACUAAUUGAAAUUUGAAGUUGUACAUAAUUAAACAUUUCAUAAAUAUUGUAAAUAAAACAGUAAAUAUUAUUGAUGUAAUACUCACUGGAGAUGAAUCUUAGUUUGGAGAGAAAACAAAUAGUUGGAACUUGGAACGGCAUUGGUAUUAGAUUUCCCCCUCAAAUUUCCACAUCAAAUUAACCAAAUAAAAGAAGAGAAGUAGUACCAAGUCCAAGCAAUAUGUGCAGUGAUUCAGGGCUAUCUACCUACUAGUUAAGAAUCAGAACUAACUACCUACGGAAGAGUCAAUGAAGUUGUUUCUAAACCAACCCUAUAUAAUUGCCCUGCCGUUGAUGUGUAAUCUAGCAACUCUAGUUCAAAAGAGGACAUAAAAAGAAAAGGAAAAUGAAAGGAAAUAAGAAAAAUCAAACAGUUGAAACAGUUCCAUAAGCUAGAAAGUGAGUUAAAAGAACUCGAAACAUAUAGUACUGUACAAUAAAAAGUGUAUUCGAACUACAACUAGUUCUCGAAAAUUAACUGAAUUUCGCAGUAGAACGCAAUCAUUGUUCCUAUUCUAGAGCUUCAGUCAACGGAAAUCGAACUCUACACAAAGGUCCAACUAAAUUGACUACGAAGUCGCUAUGAAAUAACGAAUCAUACGGCAUGCAAUCAAACAAAUUGAAGCUCUAUAUGUACAAAUAAAGAUUUAAUUGAAAAAGGGGGUGAUCUUGCCUUUCCGCUGAUAAUCAGCCAACAGUCCUUAGUCUUAUUAUGCUUCGCGACCUCCUCGAAUGUGUGAGAUUUCGGAUCUGAUGCCAUCGUUGAUUGUUCCUCACCACUAAACACAAAAAGGAAAAUAGUUUCAAAAUCGGAAUGAAAACAUAAAAAAAUAUAACCCGAUUAACAAAUAAAGAGAGCAUCUGAAAAGCAAACAACGGAAUCAAGAGAAAUUAAGUCGAUCAGAAAGCUUACGAGAGAAGCGGAAUCUGAUAAUUUUCUGCGUCGCCUGCUUUGACCAAC